Molecule: ribosomal RNA, 426 nt
Filed under: uncultured Lachnospiraceae bacterium
Lineage: Bacteria; Bacillati; Bacillota; Clostridia; Lachnospirales; Lachnospiraceae
Description: bacterial SSU rRNA
Rfam family: Bacterial small subunit ribosomal RNA
Source: RNAcentral
UGGGGAAUAUUGGGCAAUGGGCGAAAGCCUUACCCAGCAAUGCCGCGUGAGUGAUGAAGGUCUUCGGAUUGUAAAGCUCUUUGAUUAGGGACGAAGAAAGUGACGGUACCUAAAGAACAAGCCCCGGCUAACUACGUGCCAGCAGCCGCGGUAAUACGUAGGGGGCAAGCAUUGUCCGGAAUGACUGGGCGUAAAGGGUGUGUAGGCGGUUUUACAAGUUAGAUGUGAAAUACCCAGGGCUUAACUCGGGUGCUGCAUCUAAGACUGUAAGACUUGAGUGUCGGAGAGGUAAAUGGAAUUCCUAGUGUAGCGGUGGAAUGCGUAGAUAUUAGGAGGAACACCAGUGGCGAAGGCGAUUUACUGGACGAUAACUGACGCUGAGGCACGAAAGCGUGGGGAGCAAACAGGAUUAGAUACCCUGGUAGU